AAGAAAAGCUCCGGUGUAUACUAAGGCGCCCGUACCGUAAACCGACACAGGUGGGUGGGCAUAAAUGUGCCAAGGCGCGUGAGUGAAACCUCGUUAAGGAACUCUGCAAUCUAGCCCCGUAACUUCGGAAGAAGGGGUGCCCUCUUAGGAGGGUCGCAGUGAAAUGGGUCAACCGACUGUUUAACAAAAACACAGCACUCUGCUAAGUUUUAUGACGACGUAUAGGGUGUGACACGUGACCAAUGCGGAAAGAUUACGGUAAGGGGUCAGCCGCAAGGCGAAGCUCUGAGCUCAAGUCCCCGUGAAUGUCGGCCGUAACUAUAACGGUCCUAAGGUAGCGAAAUUCCUUGUCGGGUAAGUUCCGACCUGCACGAAUCGUGUAACGAGUUGACCGCUGUCUCAACGAGGAGCUCAGCGAAGUUGUAGUGGCGGUGAAGAUGCCGCCUACCCGCAGUAGGACGGAAAGACCCUAUGCACCUUUACUGUACGCUGUCACUGUUGUUUCGGUUUUAUUGCUUAGCGUAAGUGGGAGGCUUUGAUUCAUCUCUUUUGGGGGAUGAUGAGCCGCCAAUGAAACACCACCCUGUGAAACUGGAACUUCUAACCGCGGCCCGUAAUCGGGCGCGAAACACUGGCAGCCGGUCAGUUUGACUGGGGCGGUCUCCUCCCAAAGAGUAACGGAGGAGUACGAAGGUUGGCUCAGCCUGGUUGGUAAUCAGGUGACGAGUAUAUGGAUAUAAGCCAGCUUAACUGCGAGACAUACAAGUCGAGCAGGUACGAAAGUAGGUCCAAGUGAUCCGGUGGUUUAAUGUGGAAUUGCCAUCGCUCAACGGACAAAAGGUACGCUAGGGAUAACAGGCUGAUCCUGCCCAAGAGCUCAUAUCGACGGCAGGGUUUGGCACCUCGAUGUCGGCUCAUCACACCCUGGGGCUGGAGAAGGUCCCAAGGGUCCGGCUGUUCGCCGGUUAAAGUGGUACGCGAGCUGGGUUCAGAACGUCGCGAGACAGUUCGGUCCUUAUCCACUGUGGGCGCAGGAGAUUUGAGGGGUUCAAUCCUUAGUACGAGAGGACCGGGAUUGACAAACCUCUGGUGAUCCAGUUGUUCCGUCAGGAGCACCGCUGGGCAGCUAUGUUUGGAAAGGAUAAGCGCUGAAAGCAUCUAAGCGCCAAGCCUCUCCCAAGAUGAAAUCUCCCUGAAGAGCCGUGGAAGACUACCACGUUGAUAGGUCGCGGGUAUAAGCGCA
Molecule: ribosomal RNA, 1243 nt
Filed under: metagenome
Description: bacterial LSU rRNA
Rfam family: Bacterial large subunit ribosomal RNA
Source: RNAcentral